GAGAGAGCGGGACGCGGCCGAGUGAGAGAGAGGGGAAUGGAGAAAGAGAGAGCGAUAGAGAGAGAGAGAGAGAGGAAGGAGGAGGGGAACACGGGAGCUCGGCCUGUAGUCGGCGUGAGACCAGUGGGGGAAACAGAGCGUUUGGAAAGCCCGCCCCAAGGACACGAGAGGGCGGAGGAGGCGAGAGUAAGCGAAAAGAUAUCCUUGAAUUCCCUUCUCUAUUACUUUUUCAUCUCACGCCAUCGCCACAGUGUCUCUCCAGAGGUGAGACGAUCAACACGGCAUACUCUACGUCUCUUUUUUUACGCGCAAACAUGAAUGCCUCUGCCCUUUCUCGCGGACGUAGAUGCCAGCGGACACAAGGGUAAAGCUAUAAGGAAAGAAAAUAAGAAAUAUAAA
RNAcentral lists this long non-coding RNA (399 nucleotides) under Penaeus japonicus. Its description in RNAcentral is "uncharacterized LOC122254430". The record is from RNAcentral. Lineage: Eukaryota; Metazoa; Arthropoda; Malacostraca; Decapoda; Penaeidae.